RNAcentral lists this ribosomal RNA (2755 nucleotides) under Clostridioides difficile. Its description in RNAcentral is "bacterial LSU rRNA". It matches the Rfam family "Bacterial large subunit ribosomal RNA". Lineage: Bacteria; Bacillati; Bacillota; Clostridia; Peptostreptococcales; Peptostreptococcaceae. The record is from RNAcentral.
UCAAGUUAUUAAGGGUGCAGGGCGGAUGCCUUGGCACUAGGAGCCGAUGAAGGACGUGAUAAGCUGCGAUAAGCUUCGGGGAGUUGCACGUAAACUUUGAUCCGAAGAUUUCCGAAUGAGGAAACUCACUUAGAGUAAUGUCUAAGUAUCAUUAAGUGAAUACAUAGCUUAAUGAGGGGAACUCAGGGAACUGAAACAUCUAAGUACCUGAAGGAAGAGAAAGAAAUUCGAUUCCGUAAGUAGCGGCGAGCGAACGCGGAUUAGCCCAAACCAAUAAAGUUUUCUUUAUUGGGGUUGCGGACAUAUCAUAACGAAGAGGUAUCGUAAUUGAAGAGGUUUGGAAAGACCCACCACAGAAGGUAAUAGUCCUGUAUGUUAAACGAGAAGACUUCAGAUAUGAUCCAGAGUACCACGGGACACGUGAAACCCUGUGGGAAGCAGGAGGGACCACCCUCCAAGGCUAAAUACUACCUAGUGACCGAUAGCGUAUAGUACCGUGAGGGAAAGGUGAAAAGAACCCCGGGAGGGGAGUGAAAUAGAACCUGAAACCCUGCACUUACAAGCUGUGGAAGCACAUUUCUUGUGUGACCGCGUACUUUUUGUAGAACGGGCCAACGAGUUACGUUAAGUAGCAAGGUUAAGCACUUAAGGUGCGGAGCCGUAGCGAAAGCGAGUUUUAACUGAGCGUUCAGUUACUUGACGUAGACCCGAAACCGGGCGACCUACCCAUGAGCAGGAUGAAGCGAAAGUAAAAUUUCGUGGAGGUCCGAACCCACGAGCGUUGAAAAGCUCGGGGAUGACUUGUGGGUAGCGGUGAAAUUCCAAUCGAGCCCGGAGAUAGCUGGUUCUCCCCGAAAUAGCUUUAGGGCUAGCCUCAAGGUGAGAGAUACGGAGGUAGAGCACUGAAUGUCCUAGGGGGUAUUGCACCUACCGAAGACUAUCAAACUCCGAAUGCCGUCAUCUUAUACUUGGGAGUCAGACUGUGGGUGAUAAGAUUCAUAGUCGAAAGGGCAACAGCCCAGAUCGUCAGCUAAGGUCCCUAAAUGUAAGUUAAGUGGUAAAGGAUGUGGGAUUGCACAGACAACCAGGAUGUUGGCUUAGAAGCAGCCACUCAUUCAAAGAGUGCGUAAUAGCUCACUGGUCGAGUGAUCCUGCGCCGAAGAUUUCCGGGGCUAAAACUUACUACCGAAGCUACGGCAUCAGUAAUGAUGGGUAGGGGAGCUUCCCAUACGGGUUGAAGCAUGACCGUAAGGACAUGUGGACAGUAUGGGAGUGAGAAUGUUGGCAUGAGUAGCGAGAUGUGGGUGAGAAUCCCACAGGCCGUAAACCCAAGGUUUCCAGGGGAAGGUUCGUCCGCCCUGGGUUAGUCGGGACCUAAGCUGAGGCCGAAAGGCGUAGGUGAUGGACAACAGGUUGAUAUUCCUGUACUACCGAUAACCGUUUGAGAGAAGGGAUGACACAGUAGGAUAAGCUAAGCACACUGUUGGUUAUGUGUGCCCAAGCAUUGAGGCAGUCAAAGUAGGCAAAUCCGCUUUGAUAAUGCUGGGAUGUGAUGGGGAGCGAAAUUUAGUAGCGAAGUAGCUGAUUUCACACUGUCAAGAAAAGUCUCUAUCGAGGUUAAAGGUACCCGUACCGCAAACCGACACAGGUGGGUGAGGAGAGUAUCCUAAGGCCAGCGAGAGAACUGUUGUUAAGGAACUCGGCAAAAUGACCCCGUAACUUAGGGAUAAGGGGUGCCACCAUCAGGUGGCCGCAGAGAAUAGGCCCAAGCGACUGUUUACCAAAAACAUAGGUUUCUGCUAAGUCGCAAGACGAUGUAUAGGAGCUGACGCCUGCCCGGUGCUGGAAGGUUAAGGGGAUCUGUUAGAGCAAUCGAAGCAGUGAACUUAAGCCCCAGUAAACGGCGGCCGUAACUAUAACGGUCCUAAGGUAGCGAAAUUCCUUGUCGGGUAAGUUCCGACCCGCACGAAAGGCGUAACGAUUUGGGCACUGUCUCAACAACAGACUCGGUGAAAUUGUAAUUCCGGUGAAGAUGCCGGAUACCUGCGACAGGACGGAAAGACCCCAUGGAGCUUUACUGUAGCUUGACAUUGGGUCUUGGUACUACAUGUACAGGAUAGGUGGGAGGCUUUGAAACCAGGACGCCAGUUUUGGCGGAGCCAUCCUUGGGAUACCACCCUUGUAGUACUGGGACUCUAACCAUAGGCCAUGAAUCUGGUCUUGGGACACUGUCAGGUGGGCAGUUUGACUGGGGCGGUCGCCUCCCAAAAGGUAACGGAGGCGCUCAAAGGUUCUCUCAGUACGGUCGGAAAUCGUACGUAGAGUGUAAAGGCAAAAGAGAGCUUGAUUGCAAGACAUACAGGUCGAGCAAGGAUGAAAAUCGGACUUAGUGAUCCGGUGGUUCUGCGUGGAAGGGCCAUCGCUCAACGGAUAAAAGCUACCCUGGGGAUAACAGGCUUAUCUCCCCCAAGAGUCCACAUCGACGGGGAGGUUUGGCACCUCGAUGUCGGCUCAUCACAUCCUGGGGCUGUAGUAGGUCCCAAGGGUUGGGCUGUUCGCCCAUUAAAGUGGUACGCGAGCUGGGUUCAGAACGUCGUGAGACAGUUCGGUCCCUAUCCGUCGCAGGCGUAGGAAAUUUGAGAAGACCUGUCCUUAGUACGAGAGGACCGGGAUGGACGUACCUCUGGUGUACCAGUUGUUCUGCCAAGGGCAUGGCUGGGUAGCUAUGUACGGAAUGGAUAAGCGCUGAAAGCAU